Molecule: non-coding RNA, 293 nt
Organism: Misgurnus anguillicaudatus (oriental weatherfish)
Lineage: Eukaryota; Metazoa; Chordata; Actinopteri; Cypriniformes; Cobitidae
Source: RefSeq, a predicted model, not a curated record
AUAACGUGCUGCAUAUAAAUACAUUAUUUUGGCUGUUACACACUGAAGUGUCUGAGAAUCACUAGUAGCAGAUAAUAGGAAGUGCUUUUGAUUUUACGAAGACUAAUGUCAUGCUGCGGCAGAAAGGAAGUAUUUAUCUUUAGCUCUACGUCUUCUGCAUAUCAGCUUGAAUACAGUUUAAGGACACAUUGUAAGGUGCUUCAUUCUGAUGUAAAGAUGGUGGUUUUCCUAAACUGUUUAUUUGCAUUCGUUCUCUACCUAAGAGCAUCAUCUGCUAGUGAUAACUCUUGGAA